Molecule: ribosomal RNA, 485 nt
Filed under: Veillonella parvula
Lineage: Bacteria; Bacillati; Bacillota; Negativicutes; Veillonellales; Veillonellaceae
Description: bacterial SSU rRNA
Rfam family: Bacterial small subunit ribosomal RNA
Source: RNAcentral
GACGAACGCUGGCGGCGUGCUUAACACAUGCAAGUCGAACGAAGAGCGAUGGAAGCUUGCUUCUAUCAAUCUUAGUGGCGAACGGGUGAGUAACGCGUAAUCAACCUGCCCUUCAGAGGGGGACAACAGUUGGAAACGACUGCUAAUACCGCAUACGAUCUAAUCUCGGAUCGAGGAUAGAUGAAAGGUGGCCUCUACAUGUAAGCUAUCACUGAAGGAGGGGAUUGCGUCUGAUUAGCUAGUUGGAGGGGUAACGGCCCACCAAGGCGAUGAUCAGUAGCCGGUCUGAGAGGAUGAACGGCCACAUUGGGACUGAGACACGGCCCAGACUCCUACGGGAGGCAGCAGUGGGGAAUCUUCCGCAAUGGACGAAAGUCUGACGGAGCAACGCCGCGUGAGUGAUGACGGCCUUCGGGUUGUAAAGCUCUGUUAAUCGGGACGAAAGGCCUUCUUGCGAACAGUAGAAGGAAUGACGGACCGGAAUA